UGCCGCCAUAUAACGUUGAAACAACUGUUCUCGUAAGAUCACCGAAGUUAAGCAACGUUGAGCCCGGUUAGUGCAUCGAUGGGUUAACCAUUGGGAAAUCAGGUAC
Acanthosepion pharaonis is the source of this 106-nucleotide non-coding RNA. Lineage: Eukaryota; Metazoa; Mollusca; Cephalopoda; Sepiida; Sepiidae. The record is from the annotation of a GenBank genome assembly.